RNAcentral lists this small nuclear RNA (20 nucleotides) under Arabidopsis thaliana (thale cress). Its description in RNAcentral is "snRNA_07266". The record is from RNAcentral. Lineage: Eukaryota; Viridiplantae; Streptophyta; Magnoliopsida; Brassicales; Brassicaceae.
UCCGAUGUAUACCUCUAAAU